Molecule: ribosomal RNA, 382 nt
Filed under: uncultured eukaryote
Lineage: Eukaryota
Description: partial 18S ribosomal RNA
Rfam family: Eukaryotic small subunit ribosomal RNA
Source: RNAcentral
CAAUAGCGUAUAUUAAAGUUGUUGCAGUUAAAAAGCUCGUAGUUGGAUUUCUGGUUGAAGCGACCGGUCGGGCGUUGAUUCGUCUGCACUGGAGUCGGUUUUGGCCAUCCUCUAGGAAAGUGCGUCUGGUAUUAAGUUAUCGGGCGUAUGAUCCUGGUCUUUUACUGUGAAAAAAUUAGAGUGUUUAAAGCAGGCCUUCGCCUUGAACACAUUAGCAUGGAAUAAUAAGAUAGGACUUUGGUCUAUUUUGUUGGUUUGCAGACCGAAGUAAUGAUUAAUAGGGAUAGUUGGGGGUAUUUAUAUUCCGAUGUCAGAGGUGAAAUUCUUAGAUUUUCGGAAGAUAAACUUAUGCGAAAGCAUUUACCAAGGAUGUUUUCAUUAA